AGUCGANCGGGAAUCUUCGGAUUCUAGUGGCGGACGGGUGAGUAACGCGUAAGAAUCUAACUUCAGGACGGGGACAACAGUUGGAAACGACUGCUAAUACCCGAUGUGCCGAAAGGUGAAACCUAAUUGGCCUGAAGAAGAGCUUGCGUCUGAUUAGCUAGUUGGUGGGGUAAAGGCCUACCAAGGCGACGAUCAGUAGCUGGUCUGAGAGGAUGAGCAGCCACACUGGGACUGAGACACGGCCCAGACUCCUACGGGAGGCAGCAGUGGGGAAUUUUCCGCAAUGGGCGAAAGCCUGACGGAGCAACGCCGCGUGAGGGAGGAAGGUCUUUGGAUUGUAAACCUCUUUUCUCAAGGAAGAAGUUCUGACGGUACUUGAGGAAUCAGCCUCGGCUAACUCCGUGCCAGCAGCCGCGGUAAUACGGGGGAGGCAAGCGUUAUCCGGAAUUAUUGGGCGUAAAGCGUCCGCAGGUGGUCAGCCAAGUCUGCCGUCAAAUCAGGUUGCUUAACGACCUAAAGGCGGUGGAAACUGGCAGACUAGAGAGCAGUAGGGGUAGCAGGAAUUCCCAGUGUAGCGGUGAAAUGCGUAGAGAUUGGGAAGAACAUCGGUGGCGAAAGCGUGCUACUGGGCUGUAUCUGACACUCAGGGACGAAAGCUAGGGGAGCGAAAGGGAUUAGAUACCCCUGUAGUCCUAGCCGUAAACGAUGGAUACUAGGCGUGGCUUGUAUCGACCCGAGCCGUGCCGAAGCUAACGCGUUAAGUAUCCCGCCUGGGGAGUACGCACGCAAGUGUGAAACUCAAAGGAAUUGACGGGGGCCCGCACAAGCGGUGGAGUAUGUGGUUUAAUUCGAUGCAACGCGAAGAACCUUACCAAGACUUGACAUGUCGCGAACCCUNNGAAAGCUGGGGGUGCCUUCGGGAGCGCGAACACAGGUGGNGCAUGGCUGUCGUCAGCUCNUGUCG
This 964-nucleotide ribosomal RNA is filed under the name uncultured bacterium. Its description in RNAcentral is "bacterial SSU rRNA". It matches the Rfam family "Bacterial small subunit ribosomal RNA", at positions 60 to 1067 of the family's 1533-position model. The record is from RNAcentral.